AAAUAAGUUGAAAAUCCAUCAGAAACUAAUUUUAAUACAAAGUUAUUAAUUAAUUACGUUCGUUUUCAUUACAUUCUUUUGUUUAUUCUUUAAUUUUAUGUUUUGUAUCAAAAAUCGUGUUCAUUAAUAUUGUUGAUGUUGGUACUUUGGCCGUCAUUGUUGUUGUUUUUCUAUAUGUCAUACGAAAGAGGACGCACAAAUAAAGCAAAACAGCAGCCAACAGCAACAACUGUAAUACCAGUUAAUAUUUCAGUGAUAUUUUAAGUGAAUUGAAAAGAUUUGUUGUUAUUCACAAAGAAAAUAUCAUAGAGAAACCUUUCGCGAAACGAAUUAGUUACUCUUCAAUUGCCCAACGUUCAUGAUGGUUCCACGUAUGAGCUGGAUGAUAAUCAUCUCACACAAAAUGCUGGAGAAAAUGAAAAUACUCUAACAACAGAAUACGGUGAUGGAGCAGAUGACAAUGAUGAUCUUGAUGAAAGCAUUGACCACGUUGUCGAUUAUCUAAUUGAAAGUUCUGAUGAAGAGCUAGAAGAUGAGCUAUCUACAAAAGAAUAUUCGGUACAAGAUGCCUUACGUCGCUGGGCCAUAUCCAAAAAAUAAACGUACGAGUCGAUCGAGGAAGUAAUGGAGAUAAUACGGAAAGUAAGUGACUGCAAGCUACCGAAAGAUGCAAGAACCUUGCUGAAGAUCAGCCGCAACCCUUCUGCGGAGAUACUAAGGGUACAAGGAGGACAGUAUUGGUAUCAUGGAGUCCAAAAAUGCUUUUCAUUCAUUUUGUACAGACUUUAUGGUUCAUUAUAUUUACAUGUACUGCUUUGUUCCGUAAUAGCAAUGUAAAAGUUCCAACCAAUGCAACUCUUUCGAUCAAUAUUUCAAUCGAUGGGUUACCGAUAUUCAAAAGCAGUAACCUUCAAUUUUGGCCUAUAUUAAUAAACAUCCAUGGAAUGUCGAAAGUGCCAGUUAUGAUAGUUGCAAUCUAUUGUGGUCCUUCUAAACCAGCUAGUAUCGAACACUUUCUUCGACCUUUUGUUGAUGAAUUAAAUUUCCUCGUGAGAAAUGGAGCACUCGUCAAUAAUAGGAGAGUUAUGUUACAAAUACGUGCCAUUAUAGCCGACUCUCCGGCUCGUGCAUUUAUAAAAGGUGUUAUUAGUUUCAAUGCUAAAAACGGCUGCUUGAAGUGCAUAUCCGAAGGGAAGAGUAUCCAGGGACGAGUAGCAUAUUCCGAAUGCAUUGCUGCAGAUCGCACUGAUGAGGUGUGGUGACCAUCACAAAUUUGAUUCUCCUCUCUUACAUUUACAUUGCCUUGAUAUGGUGAAACAAGUUAUUGUAGCAGAAUCGUUGCAUUUGAUCGAUUUGGGUGUUACGAAACGAAUGCUGAUUAGCUGGAUAUUAGGGAAAUACGGAGUAAAGAAUAAGCUUUCCACUGCACAACUCAACAAUAUGACAGCGAUGUUUGUUAACAUAAAGAUACACAGAAAGUUCCGUUCAUUUCGUGACUUAAAGCAUUGGAAAGGAUCCGAGAUUGCCUCGUUCCUAUUUUAUGGUUCUAUUGUUGUGCUUCAAGAAGUAUUAUGUGAACAACAGUAUAACCAUUUCAUGCUGUAUAUUUGUAGUAUUACACUUUUGGCAUCAAAGGUUUACAAAGAACAUUGGUCUUUAGCAAAUUCUUUGCUUCAAUUAUUUGUCAAAAAAUACAAAUUCCAUUACGGCCCAGAAUUUGUUUCAAGCAAUGUUCAUAACCUUUUGCACAUUUACAAAGAAGUUGAUCAGUUUGGCCCAUUGCAUACCAUAUCUUCAUAUCCUUUUGCGAAUGAACUGCAGCAUAUAAAACGUUUACUGCGUAGUGGAUCAAAAAGUUUGGAACUAACUAGGGUAACCGUACCAGUUUUCGGCACGUUAGUGCAGCAGAUCAGAAAAAAAUACAAAUACAAUUAUUGAACUCAAUAAUUUUGAUAGAAGGUGGUAUUAUUUUGGUUGUAAAACUAUCAAAGAAUGUUUCAGCAUACAUGAUUUAUUGAUUUAAAUCAGUUUUUAAUAAAUAUUAGCAAAAAUGCAAAAACAUUGGUUUUGCUCCUAUUUUUGGCAGGCUGUGUUCCUAUUUUCGGCAUCGCGAAUAGACGAUUUGAAACACUCGAAAAGGUGUAAUUAAUUAAAGAAAAAUAUUUUAAACAACUUUCUACUCUUAUUUUGCUAAAAUUCUUGAUAGAAAGUAGUUAAAUAAUUAAUUUUAUGUUGUCCAUUAUGGAUAUGAAACUGCCAGAUUUUGACGUCUCUCGAAAAUCGCUCUGAAAUUGCACUGGAUUGAGCUGGCAAAAAUCAACAUUUUCCCUGUACCUAUUUUCGGCAGCCUUUAAAAAUAAUCGUUUAUUGGAUUUUUUAAUUAUCAAUGAGCUUUGAAUAAAUUUUAAAUUAAUUUUAUUGUUCAGAAAAAUCGAAACCCCAAUUUUUUAAGCUCUAGUUUGCUAAAUCUCAGAACUACCGAACUAUCAAAUCAAGAAUUGGCUUAAAGCCAAUCUGACGAAAUGUGUUGAGCUCGGCACAAAUAAUUCGAUAUUUUUGUAAAUAUCGAUCCAAAUGCGUCAAAACUUCGUAUUUAGAGAACAAACAAUGAUUUAUUCCUUUACAAGCAGUUGAAAGAUAAUUUCUUUUGCGAUUUUUCCCAUAAAUUUGCUAUUUUAGCCGACCUGCCGAAAAUAGGUACACUGCCGAAAAUAGGUACACUGCCGAAAAUAGGUACACUGCCGAAAACUGGAGCAGUUACCCUAUAAACCGAAUAUCAGAACGAGAGGCUUUACAUACGGAUCAAAAUAAUGACCAUUUUGAACAUCCCUUCAUUUUUCAAAGAGGAAGUAUAGCUACACUUCAUGUGCGCGAAGGAUUUUGCUUGAAGAAUGACCAACGUAAUGCAUGGUUUUUAACCAAAGCGUCGAGUGUGUGUCAAUAUAUCAAUGCAGUGUUGAGAGAAACCUCCGUACAUAUUACCGCGAAAAAAAAAUGGCUAGAACGGUGGAUGAUAUUAUGUAUCCUUUCAAUUCUAAAUUCCUGAACAUACAUCGUGGUAGCAUUAAAGACUUAGAAGAAAGGAAUAUAACCAUAGGACCACAGGAUAUAAAAUGUAAGCUAGUACUAGUACCUCUUUCUCAGGAAAAUCAGUAUAACUUUGUCCCUUUAAUUCAUACUUUAGUAUGAAUAUAUAAAUAGAAGCGUAAAGUUUUAAAUGAUUAUAUAAUAUGUUUAUUUUAUUACAGUA
Anopheles stephensi (Asian malaria mosquito) is the source of this 3250-nucleotide long non-coding RNA. RefSeq lists it as uncharacterized. The transcript has 3 exons. Lineage: Eukaryota; Metazoa; Arthropoda; Insecta; Diptera; Culicidae. The record is from RefSeq and is a predicted model, not a curated record.